UGCAGUCGAACGGCAGCACGGACUUCGGUCUGGUGGCGAGUGGCGCAUGGGUGAGUAAUAUAUCGGAACGUGCCCAGUCGUGGGGGAUAACGUAGUGAAAAUUACGCUAAUACCGCAUACGAUCUAAGGAUGAAAGCGGGGGAUCGCAAGACCUCGCGCGAUUGGAGCGGCCGAUAUCAGAUUAGGUAGUUGGUGAGGUAAAGGCUCACCAAGCCAACGAUCUGUAGCUGGUCUGAGAGGACGACCAGCCACACUGGAACUGAGACACGGUCCAGACUCCUACGGGAGGCAGCAGUGGGGAAUUUUGGACAAUGGACGCAAGUCUGAUCCAGCCAUUCCGCGUGCAGGACGAAGGCCUUCGGGUUGUAAACUGCUUUUGUACAGAACGAAAAGGUCUCUAUUAAUACUAGGGGCUCAUGACGGUACUGUAAGAAUAAGCACCGGCUAACUACGUGCCUGCAGCCGCGGUAAUACGUAGGGUGCAAGCGUUAAUCGGAAUUACUGGGCGUAAAGCGUGCGCAGGCGGUUAUAUAAGACAGAUGUGAAAUCCCCGGGCUCAACCUGGGAACUGCAUUUGUGACUGUAUAGCUGGAGUGCGGCAGAGGGGGAUGGAAUUCCGCGUGUAGCAGUGAAAUGCGUAGAUAUGCGGAGGAACACCGAUGGCGAAGGCAAUCCCCUGGGCCUGCACUGACGCUCAUGCACGAAAGCGUGGGGAGCAAACAGGAUUAGAUACCCUGGUAGUCCACGCCCUAAACGAUGUCAACUGGUUGUUGGGUCUUCACUGACUCAGUAACGAAGCUAACGCGUGAAGUUGACCGCCUGGGGAGUA
RNAcentral lists this ribosomal RNA (829 nucleotides) under uncultured Comamonadaceae bacterium. RNAcentral's name for it is "bacterial SSU rRNA". It matches the Rfam family "Bacterial small subunit ribosomal RNA", at positions 56 to 882 of the family's 1533-position model. The record is from RNAcentral. Lineage: Bacteria; Pseudomonadati; Pseudomonadota; Betaproteobacteria; Burkholderiales; Comamonadaceae.